This 265-nucleotide ribosomal RNA is filed under the name uncultured archaeon. Its description in RNAcentral is "partial 16S ribosomal RNA". It matches the Rfam family "Archaeal small subunit ribosomal RNA", at positions 717 to 982 of the family's 1478-position model. The record is from RNAcentral.
ACACGACUACAUUAGAUACCCGGGUAGUCCUAGCCGUAAACGAUACUCGCUAGGUGUCGGCCACGGUGCGACCGUUGUCGGUGCCGUAGGGAAGCCGUGAAGCGAGCCACCUGGGAAGUACGGCCGCGAAGGCUGAAACUUAAAGGAAUUGGCGGGGAGCACCGCAACGGGAGGAGCGUGCGGUUCAAUUGGAUUCAACGCCGGACAACUCACCAGGAGCGACGGUUACAUGAAGGCCAGGCUGAUGACCUUGCCUGAUUUUCCG